GGGUUGUGAGGUUAAGCGACUAAGCGUACACGGUGGAUGCCCUGGCAGUCAGAGGCGAUGAAGGGCGUGCUAAUCUGCGAUAAGCGCCGGUAAGGUGAUAUGAACCGUUAUAACCGGCGAUACCCGAAUGGGGAAACCCAGUGUGACUCGUCACACUAUCAUUAACUGAAUCCAUAGGUUAAUGAGGCGAACCGGGGGAACUGAAACAUCUAAGUACCCCGAGGAAAAGAAAUCAACCGAGAUUCCCCCAGUAGCGGCGAGCGAACGGGGAGGAGCCCAGAGCCUGAAUCAGCAUGUGUGUUAGUGGAAGCGUCUGGAAAGGCGCGCGAUACAGGGUGACAGCCCCGUACACAAAAGCGUAUGUGCUGUGAGCUCGAUGAGUAGGGCGGGACACGUGGUAUCCUGUCUGAAUAUGGGGGGACCAUCCUCCAAGGCUAAAUACUCCUGACUGACCGAUAGUGAACCAGUACCGUGAGGGAAAGGCGAAAAGAACCCCGGCGAGGGGAGUGAAAAAGAACCUGAAACCGUGUACGUACAAGCAGUGGGAGCCCCACCACUAAGCCAGUGGUGAACUCCACAUACGCAUCCUUUGCUGAGGAUACGGUUAACGGAGCGAAAGCGACGUUCAACCGCAAAAGAAGCAGAGGGGGCUUAGUGGUGG
Molecule: ribosomal RNA, 661 nt
Filed under: Salmonella enterica
Lineage: Bacteria; Pseudomonadati; Pseudomonadota; Gammaproteobacteria; Enterobacterales; Enterobacteriaceae
Description: partial 23S ribosomal RNA
Rfam family: Bacterial large subunit ribosomal RNA
Source: RNAcentral